GACGAACGCUGGCGGCGUGCCUAAUACAUGCAAGUCGAACGCAGUGGGGACGGGUGAGUAACACGUGGGUAACCUCCCAUCAGAGGGGAUAAACCUUGGAAACAGGUGCUAAACCGAUACUGAUGGAUGGACCAGCGGUGGAUUAGCUAGCUGGUGAGGUAACGGCUCACCAAGGCCACGAUGCAUAGCCGACCUGAGAGGGUGAUCCGCCACCCUGCGACUGAGACACGGCCCAGACUCCUACGUGAGGCAGCAGUAGGGAAUCUUCGGCAAUGGACGAAAGUCUGACCGAGCAACGCCGCGUGAGUGCAGAAGGUUUUCGGAUCGUAAAACUCUGUUGUUAGAGAAGCGGUAUCUAACCAGAAAGCCACGGCUAACUACGUGCCAGCAGCCGCGGUAAUUC
Molecule: ribosomal RNA, 403 nt
Filed under: uncultured bacterium
Lineage: Bacteria
Description: partial 16S ribosomal RNA
Rfam family: Bacterial small subunit ribosomal RNA
Source: RNAcentral